AGAACAAGGGGGGAUGGCUUUUAACUAAAAGAGGAGAUAUUUAUAUUAGAUAUUAGGAAGAAAUUUUUUACUCACAGGAUAGCAAGACACU
Molecule: long non-coding RNA, 91 nt
Organism: Lepidothrix coronata (blue-crowned manakin)
Lineage: Eukaryota; Metazoa; Chordata; Aves; Passeriformes; Pipridae
Exons: 3
Source: RefSeq, a predicted model, not a curated record